This 397-nucleotide ribosomal RNA is filed under the name uncultured bacterium. RNAcentral describes it as "partial 16S ribosomal RNA". It matches the Rfam family "Bacterial small subunit ribosomal RNA", at positions 523 to 918 of the family's 1533-position model. The record is from RNAcentral.
AUACGUAGGGGGCGAGCGUUGUCCGGAAUGACUGGGCGUAAAGGGCGUGUAGGCGGCCGAUUAAGUCUGGAGUGAAAGUCCUGCUUUCAAGGUGGGAAUUGCUUUGGAGACUGGUUGGCUUGAGUGCGGAAGAGGUAAGUGGAAUUCCCAGUGUAGCGGUGAAAUGCGUAGAGAUUGGGAGGAACACCAGUGGCGAAGGCGACUUACUGGGCCGUAACUGACGCUGAGGCGCGAAAGCGUGGGGAGCGAACAGGAUUAGAUACCCUGGUAGUCCACGCGGUAAACGAUGAAUGCUAGGUGUAGGGGGUAUCGACCCCUUCUGUGCCGCAGUCAACACAAUAAGCAUUCCGCCUGGGGAGUACGGCCGCAAGGUUGAAACUCAAAGGAAUUGACGGGG